UAGAAAUUCCCAGAUAUUCUUAAAACUAGCAGGUUGCAAACCAGAAUUCUGCUCCUGGAAGCUUCAUUGUCCCAGAGAUGUUCUCAAAGAUGUGCAUUGUGCAACCUUCCCCUCGGAGCAAAGCGGGGCAGCCCGAGGUGUCCCCGUGGAAGCCCCGUGGUGCCUCCCAACUUCCCGCAAAGUGCUGCCGUACCCAUACUUGGGGAGCAGGC
Molecule: long non-coding RNA, 212 nt
Organism: Oxyura jamaicensis (ruddy duck)
Lineage: Eukaryota; Metazoa; Chordata; Aves; Anseriformes; Anatidae
Exons: 3
Source: RefSeq, a predicted model, not a curated record